AUGUAUCUUUGUCAAUAUGCAUGCCACUAUGCAAGAAAUGUUUUUCCUACUGCUAAGUGCCUGAAACAAGAUUUUAAUGUAUUUUUUGAAAUCUUAAGUCUUGUCCACAUUUUGUCCUCUUGGAUAGUGAAAACCCUGCUGUCAAUCUGUAUUCACAGAGCUCAGAGUUCUACAAAGUCACCACUGAGCAGUACCAGAAAGCCGCUGAAGAGGUGGAAGCAAAGUUCAAGCGGUAUGAAUGCCAUCCCGUCUGUGCCGACCUGCAGGCCCAGAUUCUCCAGUGUUACCGCCAGAACACCCAGCAGACCCUCAGCUGCUCCGCUCUGGCCAGCGAGUACAUGCGCUGUGUCAAUCAGGCCAAACAGUGCUCCAGAAUCCACAGGCCUCUCUAGCCUGGCAGACAGCAUCCUCGCUCUACAGGACCUCGUGGAAAGACAUAGAGAUGCACCUGCUCUGCUGGGCCUGGCCCUUCUCCGGCCCACCGUGGGGACCCACUCCAUUCAUGCUGCAAGUCCUGCUUCACCAGGAUGCCCACCUCCUGGGCCCUGA
This 549-nucleotide long non-coding RNA is filed under the name Sus scrofa (pig). Its description in RNAcentral is "lncRNA (ENSSSCG00045018441.1)". The record is from RNAcentral. Lineage: Eukaryota; Metazoa; Chordata; Mammalia; Artiodactyla; Suidae.